GUAUAUAAACUUUGUGUAAACCCCCAAAACAUUUGUUACAAUCAAGUGUGUAUGAAAAAUUUUCUAUAGCCACUCGGACAGAGCAAGCUACAGGGUUGUGCACAAGGUGUGAAUGAAUGGAAAUAAGGGCAGGGGAUGUGCACAUGCUCAUAGUGAGCCAGCAACAAUCCCCCCCACCUUAUAUAUAAUUUCAUUAAUGAUCCUUCCGCAGGUUCACCUACGGAAA
This 226-nucleotide unclassified non-coding RNA is filed under the name uncultured fungus. RNAcentral's name for it is "sequence contains ITS1". Lineage: Eukaryota; Fungi. The record is from RNAcentral.